RNAcentral lists this ribosomal RNA (253 nucleotides) under uncultured bacterium. Its description in RNAcentral is "partial 16S ribosomal RNA". It matches the Rfam family "Bacterial small subunit ribosomal RNA", at positions 524 to 776 of the family's 1533-position model. The record is from RNAcentral.
UACGUAGGUGGCAAGCGUUGUCCGGAAUUAUUGGGCGUAAAGCGCGCGCAGGCGGUCCCUUAAGUCUGAUGUGAAAGCCCACGGCUCAACCGUGGAGGGUCAUUGGAAACUGGGGGACUUGAGUACAGAAGAGGAAAGCGGAAUUCCACGUGUAGCGGUGAAAUGCGUAGAGAUGUGGAGGAACACCAGUGGUGAAGGCGGCUUUCUGGUCUGUAACUGACGCUGAGGCGCGAAAGCGUGGGGAGCAAACAGG